This 551-nucleotide long non-coding RNA is filed under the name Mustela putorius furo (domestic ferret). RNAcentral's name for it is "lncRNA (ENSMPUG00000029115.1)". Lineage: Eukaryota; Metazoa; Chordata; Mammalia; Carnivora; Mustelidae. The record is from RNAcentral.
AUGGAAAUCUCCAAAUUUUACAUUUCUCUCAGCUUGUUGGAGACUGCCAAACUCUUUGUUACAAUGUGCAUUUCACAGGACAGUGAGAAGAUGCUCCCUGGAGAUCUCAGACAGAAAUCAGUGUACUCGAAGUACUACAGUACCAAAGCAGGAAAGGUAUGUGCCUCUACAGGGCACCAAGAACUACAGGACCAAACAAAUAUGGGAGAAAAAUGUUAUCCACAAAUCUAUUAGCUUUUGUUUAAAAGGAUCAUUCGAGUAAGACAUAUUAAAGGUCAUAAAACAUGUAGAAAGUUUUCAGGGUCUAAGUUGUUGAGGUAUUUUAUUUAUUGUUUUCCGUGGAUCUUGUCACAAUCCUACAUUGUUCUUUAGGGUAGCUUAACUUCUCAAGAAAUGUAAGUGCAUUAUCCUUUAAAAUGGCCAUCUCUUUGAACAGGACAGAUAUCAGGCUAUGUGAAGUUCCAAAGAAACUACUGUGAAUCUGUCCAUAUGCAUAACAGGUUGCUGUUAUACAGAAGUAUUCUAAUGAAUUUUGAAAUUAUCUAUCCAUG